CCAAUAGCGUAUAUUAAAGUUGUUGCAGUUAAAAAGCUCGUAGUUGAAUUUCGGGGUUAGUAAGUUGGUCGUGCCACUGGUAUGUACUGGCUUUACUGAUCCCUCCUUCUUGUAGAACCGUAAUGCCAUUAAUUUGGUGUUGCGGGGAAACAGGACUGUUACUUUGAAAAAAUUAGAGUGUUUAAAGCAGGCUAACGCUUGAAUACAUUAGCAUGGAAUAAUGAAAUAGGACGUUCGAUCCUAUUUUGUUGGUUUCUAGGAUUGACGUAAUGAUUAAUAGGGAUAGUUGGGGGCAUUAGUAUUCAAUUGUCAGAGGUGAAAUUCUUGGAUUUAUUGAAGACUAACUACUGCGAAAGCAUUUGCCAAGGAUGUUUUCAUUAAUCAAGAACGAAAGUUAGGGGAUCGAAGACGAUCAGAUACCGUCGUAGUCUUAACCAUAAACUAUGCCGACUAGGGAUCGGAUGAUGUUAAUUUUUUAAUGACUCAUUCGGCGCCUUAC
RNAcentral lists this ribosomal RNA (499 nucleotides) under uncultured Glomeromycotina. Its description in RNAcentral is "partial small subunit ribosomal RNA". It matches the Rfam family "Eukaryotic small subunit ribosomal RNA", at positions 591 to 1091 of the family's 1831-position model. Lineage: Eukaryota; Fungi; Glomeromycota. The record is from RNAcentral.